UGCUUGCACUGAUUUCAACAAUGAAGCGAGUGGCGAACUGGUGAGUAACACGUGGGAAAUCUGCCCAGAAGCAGGGGAUAACACUUGGAAACAGGUGCUAAUACCGUAUAACAACAAAAUCCGCAUGGAUUUUGUUUGAAAGGUGGCUUCGGCUAUCACUUCUGGAUGAUCCCGCGGCGUAUUAGUUAGUUGGUGAGGUAAAGGCCCACCAAGACGAUGAUACGUAGCCGACCUGAGAGGGUAAUCGGCCACAUUGGGACUGAGACACGGCCCAAACUCCUACGGGAGGCAGCAGUAGGGAAUCUUCCACAAUGGACGAAAGUCUGAUGGAGCAAUGCCGCGUGAGUGAAGAAGGGUUUCGGCUCGUAAAACUCUGUUGUUAAAGAAGAACACCUUUGAGAGUAACUGUUCAAGGGUUGACGGUAUUUAACCAGAAAGCCACGGCUAACUACGUGCCAGCAGCCGCGGUAAUACGUAGGUGGCAAGCGUUGUCCGGAUUUAUUGGGCGUAAAGCGAGCGCAGGCGGUUUUUUAAGUCUGAUGUGAAAGCCUUCGGCUUAACCGGAGAAGUGCAUCGGAAACUGGGAGACUUGAGUGCAGAAGAGGACAGUGGAACUCCAUGUGUAGCGGUGGAAUGCGUAGAUAUAUGGAAGAACACCAGUGGCGAAGGCGGCUGUCUAGUCUGUAACUGACGCUGAGGCUCGAAAGCAUGGGUAGCGAACAGGAUUAGAUACCCUGGUAGUCCAUGCCGUAAACGAUGAGUGCUAAGUGUUGGAGGGUUUCCGCCCUUCAGUGCUGCAGCUAACGCAUUAAGCACUCCGCCUGGGGAGUACGACCGCAAGGUUGAAACUCAAAGGAAUUGACGGGGGCCCGCACAAGCGGUGGAGCAUGGUGGUUUAAUUCGAAGCUACGCGAAGAACCUUACCAGGUCUUGACAUCUUCUGCCAUCUUAGAGAUAAGACGUUCCCUUCGGGGACAAAAUGACAGGUGGGUGCAUGGUUGUCCUCAGCUCUUGUCGUGAGAAGUUUGGGGUUAAAUCCCCCCAACGAGCGCAACCCUUAUUAUCAAUUGCCACCAUUCAGUUGGGCACUCUGUGGAGACUGCCGUGAAAACCGAGGAGAAGGGGGGGGGGGGGGUCAAAAUAUUUUGCCCCCUUUUAACUGGGGGUAACACCGGUUCAAUGGAAGGGCACCAAAAUUCG
This 1200-nucleotide ribosomal RNA is filed under the name Levilactobacillus brevis. Its description in RNAcentral is "bacterial SSU rRNA". It matches the Rfam family "Bacterial small subunit ribosomal RNA", at positions 67 to 1249 of the family's 1533-position model. Lineage: Bacteria; Bacillati; Bacillota; Bacilli; Lactobacillales; Lactobacillaceae. The record is from RNAcentral.